AGUAAAGUGCGUAAAAUAAAUAAAGUAAAGCGAGUGCGGAAAAUAAAUAAAGUAAAGCGAGUGCGGAAAAUAAAUAAAGUAAAGCGAGUGCGGAAAAUAAAUAAAGUAAAGCGAGUGCGGAAAAUAAAUAAAGUAAAGCGAGUGCGGGAAAUAAAAAAAAUAAAAGCGAUGCGGGAAAUAAAAAAAAUAAAAUUGAUGCGG
This 201-nucleotide long non-coding RNA is filed under the name Lathyrus oleraceus (garden pea). RNAcentral describes it as "Pisum sativum (pea) long non-coding RNA (PSAT_LNC024258)". The record is from RNAcentral. Lineage: Eukaryota; Viridiplantae; Streptophyta; Magnoliopsida; Fabales; Fabaceae.